Molecule: small RNA, 182 nt
Filed under: Phialocephala subalpina
Lineage: Eukaryota; Fungi; Ascomycota; Leotiomycetes; Helotiales; Mollisiaceae
Description: A. fumigatus sRNA Afu_182
Rfam family: A. fumigatus sRNA Afu_182
Source: Rfam by way of RNAcentral
GAAAUAUCAACGCUAAUUCACAUUCUCUUUAAAAGCAAUUCCAAUGAGAAGCCCGUCGCCCUCGUGGUGAUGUGAGGCUCCAUGACGUCUGGAAUCCGUCUGUAGAAUGGAGAAAAUAUCGAAAAAUCUUGGGUGCGAUGUUCUUCUGUCAGUGAAGAGGGUUGCAGUGAUUGGUCGUACAU